CGGUAAGGUGAUAUGAACCGUUAUAACCGGCGAUUUCCGAAUGGGGAAACCCAGUGUGAUUCGUCACACUAUCAUUAACUGAAUCCAUAGGUUAAUGAGGCGAACCGGGGGAACUGAAACAUCUAAGUACCCCGAGGAAAAGAAAUCAACCGAGAUUCCCCCAGUAGCGGCGAGCGAACGGGGAGGAGCCCAGAGCCUGAAUCAGCAUGUGUGUUAGUGGAAGCGUCUGGAAAGGCGCGCGAUACAGGGUGACAGCCCCGUACACAAAAGCGCAUGUGCUGUGAGCUCGAUGAGUAGGGCGGGACACGUGGUAUCCUGUCUGAAUAUGGGGGGACCAUCCUCCAAGGCUAAAUACUCCUGACUGACCGAUAGUGAACCAGUACCGUGAGGGAAAGGCGAAAAGAACCCCGGCGAGGGGAGUGAAAAAGAACCUGAAACCGU
RNAcentral lists this ribosomal RNA (441 nucleotides) under Salmonella enterica subsp. enterica serovar Typhimurium. RNAcentral's name for it is "partial 23S ribosomal RNA". It matches the Rfam family "Bacterial large subunit ribosomal RNA", at positions 79 to 559 of the family's 2925-position model. The record is from RNAcentral. Lineage: Bacteria; Pseudomonadati; Pseudomonadota; Gammaproteobacteria; Enterobacterales; Enterobacteriaceae.